CUGUUCUCCUACUAAUCUCACUGUAACCCCCUCCAGGUCUCUGUUCUCCUACUAAUCUCACUGUAACCUCUUCCAGGUCUCUGUUCUCCGACUAAUCUCACUGUAACCCCUCCAGGUCUCUGUUCUCCUACUAAUCUCAAUUCAACCCCCCUCCAGGUCUCUGUUCUCCUACUAAUCUCACUCUAACCCCCUCCAGGUCUCUGUUCUCCUACUAAUCUCACUGUAACCUCUUCCAGGUCUCUGUUCUCCGACUAAUCUCACUGUAACCCCCUCCAGGUCUCUGUUCUCCUACUAAUCUCACUGUAACCCCCCUCCAGGUCUCUGUUCUCAUACUAAUCUCAC
Long non-coding RNA from Oncorhynchus tshawytscha (Chinook salmon), 342 nucleotides. The record is from Ensembl. Lineage: Eukaryota; Metazoa; Chordata; Actinopteri; Salmoniformes; Salmonidae.